GAUGAACGCUAGCGGCAGGCUUAAUACAUGCAAGUCGUGGGGCAGCGGUCCCGCAGCAAUGCGGGAGCUGGCGACCGGCAAACGGGUGCGGAACACGUACGCAACCUUCCUUUAACUGGAGAAUAGCCCCUCGAAAGAGGGAUUAAUACUCCGUAACAUAUAGAUGUGGCAUCACAAUUAUAUUAUAGCUCCGGCGGUUAAAGAUGGGCGUGCGCCUGAUUAGANAGUUGGCGGGUAACGGCCCACCAAGUCUGCGAUCAGUAACUGGUGUGAGAGCACGACCAGUCACACGGGCACUGAGACACGGGCCCGACUCCUACGGGAGGCAGCAGUAAGGAAUAUUGGUCAAUGGACGCAAGUCUGAACCAGCCAUGCCGCGUGGAGGACUAAGGCCCUCUGGUUGUAAACUCCUUUUAUCUGGGAAGAAAUCCAAGUAUUCUUAUUUGGUUGACGGUACCAGAGGAAUAAGCACGGCUAACUCCGUGCCAGCCGCCG
Molecule: ribosomal RNA, 495 nt
Filed under: uncultured bacterium
Lineage: Bacteria
Description: bacterial SSU rRNA
Rfam family: Bacterial small subunit ribosomal RNA
Source: RNAcentral